Molecule: ribosomal RNA, 1325 nt
Filed under: metagenome
Description: bacterial LSU rRNA
Rfam family: Bacterial large subunit ribosomal RNA
Source: RNAcentral
AGUGGAUGGGGAGCAACCUAGUUGUGCGUGUGUAAAGGUAGUGCCAAGAAAGGCGAUGAUCAUGUUGAAAAUCAAUUCCCGGUACCCGAAACCGACACAGGUGGGCAAGUAGAGAAUACUAAGGGGCGCGAGGUAACUCUCUCCAAGGAACUCGGCAAAAUGACCCCGUAACUUAGGGAGAAGGGGUGCCACCGAGAGGUGAUCGCAGUGAAGAGGCCCAGGCGACUGUUUAGCAAAAACAUAGGUCUCUGCAAACUCGAAAGAGGAGGUAUAGGGGCUGACGCCUGCCCAGUGCCGGAAGGUUAAAGAAGUUGGUCAGUUUUAGGAUGAAGCUAGCGACUGAAGCCCCGGUGAACGGCGGCCGUAACUAUAACGGUCCUAAGGUAGCGAAAUUCCUUGUCGGGUAAGUUCCGACCCGCACGAAAGGCGUAACGAUCUGGGCGCUGUCUCGGAGAGAGGCUCGGCGAAAUAGGAUUGUCUGUGAAGAUACGGACUACCUGCAUUUGGACAGAAAGACCCUAUGAAGCUUUACUAUAGCUUGGAAUUGUGUUCGGGCUUCCUGUGCGCAGGAUAGGUGGGAGGCGUAGAAGGUAUUCUUGUGGGGAUACUGGAGCCAACGGUGAGAUACCACUCUCAGGAGGCUAGAAUUCUAACUUAAUUAAGGACAGUUUCAGGUGGGUAGUUUGACAGGGGCGGUCGCCUCCAAAAAGGUAACGGAGGCGUACAAAGGUUCCCUCAGACUGGUUGGAAAUCAGUCGAAGAGUGCAAAGGCAGAAGGGAGCUUGACUGCGAGAAGUACAGUUCGAGCAGGGUGGAAACACGGUCUUAGUGAUCCGACGGUGCUGUGUGGAAGGGCCGUCGCUCAACGGAUAAAAGUUACUCUAGGAUAACAGGCUGAUCUCCCCCAAGAGUUCACAUCGACGGGGAGGUUUGGCACCUCGAUGUCGGCUCAUCGCAACCUGGGGCGGAAGUACGUCCCAAGGGUUGGGCUGUUCGCCCAUUAAGGCGGUACGUGAGCUGGGUUCAGAACGUCGUGAGACAGUUCGGUCCAUAUCCGAUGUAGGCGUGAGAAUAUUGAGAGGAGCCUUCCUUAGUACGAGAGGACCGGGAAGGACGCACCGCUGGUGUACCUGUUAUGAUGCCAAUUGUAAACGCAGGGUAGCCAAGUGCGGAGAGGAUAACCGCUGAAAGCAUCUAAGUGGGAAGCCCACCUCAAGAUGAGUAUUCUGGUGUAAGGUCACGGGAAGACGACCCGUAAAUAGGCACGAGGUGGAAGUGCAGAGAUGUAUGAAGCCGAAGUGUACUAAUAGACCGUCGGCUUGACC